RNAcentral lists this ribosomal RNA (253 nucleotides) under uncultured bacterium. RNAcentral describes it as "partial 16S ribosomal RNA". It matches the Rfam family "Bacterial small subunit ribosomal RNA", at positions 524 to 776 of the family's 1533-position model. The record is from RNAcentral.
UACGAAGGGGGCUAGCGUUGCUCGGAAUCACUGGGCGUAAAGCGCACGUAGGCGGAUCUUUAAGUCAGGGGUGAAAUCCCGGAGCUCAACUCCGGAACUGCCUUUGAUACUGGGGACCUUGAGUUCGAGAGAGGUGAGUGGAACUGCGAGUGUAGAGGUGAAAUUCGUAGAUAUUCGCAAGAACACCAGUGGCGAAGGCGGCUCACUGGCUCGAUACUGACGCUGAGGUGCGAAAGCGUGGGGAGCAAACAGG